UGAGACCUUAUCUCAAAAAAACAAAACCC
RNAcentral lists this non-coding RNA (29 nucleotides) under Rattus norvegicus (Norway rat). Lineage: Eukaryota; Metazoa; Chordata; Mammalia; Rodentia; Muridae. The record is from RNAcentral.